Zingiber officinale is the source of this 200-nucleotide long non-coding RNA. RefSeq lists it as uncharacterized. The transcript is spliced from 3 exons. Lineage: Eukaryota; Viridiplantae; Streptophyta; Magnoliopsida; Zingiberales; Zingiberaceae. The record is from RefSeq and is a predicted model, not a curated record.
CCCAAUUUCUGACAGCAACUACCUGUUGUGGACCAACAGAAGAAGUUUAGUGAAGAGACAGUGCAUUGCAGGGCGUUUCUUGAUUUCCAACAGCUACCUCUGUCCCGACAACAAGUUGUCUUUGAUAUGGAUUUGUUGGGCUAUGGAUUAAGGACUUUGAUUUGAGGCAGUGUCUCGACGAGGGAUCUAUUUCGGAUUGG